AUAGAGACUCAGAGCUGCAUAUCAAUAAGCGGAGGAAAAGAAACUAACAAGGAUUCCCUAGUAACGGCGAGUGAGGCGGGAAGAGCUCAAAUUUGAAAUCUUAAAGGUUUCCCUUGACGAAUUGUAGUUUAUAGAAGUGUUUUCUGUUAGGAGUUUCGGUAAAAGUUCUUUGGAAUAGGACAUCAUAGAGGGUGAGAAUCCCGUAUUUGACCGUUACUUUCCUAGCUUUGUGAUACACUUUCAAAGAGUCGGAUUGUUUGGGAAUGCAGUCCAAAAUGGGUGGUAAAUUUCAUCUAAAGCUAAAUAUUGGCGAGAGACCGAUAGCGAACAAGUACCGUGAGGGAAAGAUGAAAAGAACUUUGAAAAGAGAGUUAAACAGUACGUGAAAUUGUCAAAAGGGAAGCGUUUGACACCAGUGUUGUUUAGUUCGAAAAUCAAUUCAAGAAUGUUAUGAUUUUGAGUAAGUAUUGACCUUCAUCAGGCUUGCUUCUUUCUUUCAGAAAUUAUUGAAUGCACUUUUCGGUUAACAAGUCAACAUCAAUUUCUUUUGUUGUAAAAGGGUAUGAGGAAGGUGGCUUACUCUUCGGCGUAAGUGUUUAUAGCCUUGUACCUCUGCAAUCGGAGAGAUUGAGGUCUGCAGCGUAGAUCCUUCGGGGUUAGAUACAUUUGUGCUAAGCUAUAGCCUUGUAUAGACAACUUGUUGACUAUGCUCUAGUCAUGUAGCUUACUCGCUUAUGCUAUUUUACCUACGCUUAGGAUGUUGACGAGACUGUCGAUCUC
This 780-nucleotide ribosomal RNA is filed under the name uncultured Neocallimastigales. RNAcentral describes it as "partial large subunit ribosomal RNA". It matches the Rfam family "Eukaryotic large subunit ribosomal RNA", at positions 23 to 634 of the family's 3401-position model. The record is from RNAcentral. Lineage: Eukaryota; Fungi; Neocallimastigomycota; Neocallimastigomycetes; Neocallimastigales.